Molecule: long non-coding RNA, 304 nt
Filed under: Phaseolus vulgaris (common bean)
Lineage: Eukaryota; Viridiplantae; Streptophyta; Magnoliopsida; Fabales; Fabaceae
Description: long non-coding RNA (PVUL_LNC003283)
Source: RNAcentral
GGCAAGGGAGCAGCAAGAGGAGAAAAGGAUCUAGGUGGUGGCUUUGCAGACUUGUCCUGUGGUUUCUUGGAAAUGAAUGCAUGCAAUGGAUAGUUCAGAUGAGAACCAACACAGUGAGAUAAAAGAGAAGGGCUGUAAGCGAAUGGGGUGGAAACCAAAUUUGAUGUGGCAGAAACAUUGGUUUCCAUGGUUAGGUGGAAGACAACAUUCAUCACCCGGUUAUCCAUCACUCCUUGUCCCAGACCACGACCAUCGUCUCUUACCAACCGACGGUCGAGCAUUAUCUCUAGCCAUCCAUUUUUAA